Molecule: ribosomal RNA, 479 nt
Filed under: uncultured bacterium
Lineage: Bacteria
Description: bacterial SSU rRNA
Rfam family: Bacterial small subunit ribosomal RNA
Source: RNAcentral
GAUGAACGCUAGCGGGAGGCUUAACACAUGCAAGUCGAGGGGUAAAUGGUAGCAAUACUAUGAGACCGGCGGACGGGUGCGUAACGCGUAUGCAACAUACCUUGUGCAGGGGGAUAGCCCGUGGAAACGCGGAUUAAUAUUCCAUAGUCCAGCUAUAUCGCAUGGUAUAGUUGGUAAAGAUUUAUCGGCACAAGUUUGGCAUGCGUCUGAUUAGCUUGUUGGUAGGGUAACGGCCUACCAAGGCUACGAUCAGUAGGGGUUCUGAGAGGAUUAACCCCCACACUGGUACUGGGACACGGACCAGACUCCUACGGGAGGCAGCAGUGAGGAAUAUUGGUCAAUGGGCGGAAGCCUGAACCAGCCAUCCCGCGUGAAGGAAGACAGCCUUACGGGUUGUAAACUUCUUUUCUGUCAGAAGAAUAAGCUUGUCGAGACGAGUGAUGCCGGUAUGACAGGAAUAAGCAUCGGCUAACUCCGUG